CUGCAAACCCCCAGUGAGCAGCAAGUAGCACAAACAGCAUCAGCACAAGCCAGAGUUCAGCUUGAAAUGUCAAGGUAAUUUCCAGGGUUCUUUUCCAAGGCCUCUGCAAGGGGGAAAACAAGGUUUCAUGCACCCUGUAAAGUGAUGUCUUUCAGUGGAAAGGCUGUGACGUUCCAGUUUUAUUUAUUUAAUAAAAGCACAGACAGGACACCAACAGCAAGUACUGAAUUCUUGUUUUAGGGGGAUCAGGACAGCGUAAACUCUCAGUUAUUCCCCCAGAAGCACAAGGUUAUAAUGGUGGCAUUUUAAAAACUGUCCCUGGAGGAGGAAGAAACACAAUUUACAUAAUUCCUCUUCAGGACCAGCUAGAUGCAUCUCCUCUUCCAGCAGAUGCAUCUGAAUUUCAGAAGAUGCCAAAAGCAGCCUGUAUGGUCUGCAGAUCCAGCGUGCCGCUUCAAGUGUUGGCUGUACAUGUAAAAUCUUGUGUGGACCAGAAAUCUUCUGAAGAGGACAGAGAGUCUUCUCCUGAUGUAGCAUUUGUGGCUGAAGAC
This is a long non-coding RNA of Melanotaenia boesemani (Boeseman's rainbowfish), 551 nucleotides long. RefSeq lists it as uncharacterized. The transcript has 3 exons. The record is from RefSeq and is a predicted model, not a curated record. NCBI's taxonomy places the organism in Eukaryota, Metazoa, Chordata, Actinopteri, Atheriniformes, Melanotaeniidae.